RNAcentral lists this ribosomal RNA (1501 nucleotides) under Enterobacter sp. L3R3-1. RNAcentral describes it as "bacterial SSU rRNA". It matches the Rfam family "Bacterial small subunit ribosomal RNA". The record is from RNAcentral. Lineage: Bacteria; Pseudomonadati; Pseudomonadota; Gammaproteobacteria; Enterobacterales; Enterobacteriaceae.
AGAGUUUGAUCCUGGCUCAGAUUGAACGCUGGCGGCAGGCCUAACACAUGCAAGUCGAGCGGUAGCACAGAGAGCUUGCUCUCGGGUGACGAGCGGCGGACGGGUGAGUAAUGUCUGGGAAACUGCCUGAUGGAGGGGGAUAACUACUGGAAACGGUAGCUAAUACCGCAUAACGUCGCAAGACCAAAGAGGGGGACCUUCGGGCCUCUUGCCAUCAGAUGUGCCCAGAUGGGAUUAGCUAGUAGGUGGGGUAACGGCUCACCUAGGCGACGAUCCCUAGCUGGUCUGAGAGGAUGACCAGCCACACUGGAACUGAGACACGGUCCAGACUCCUACGGGAGGCAGCAGUGGGGAAUAUUGCACAAUGGGCGCAAGCCUGAUGCAGCCAUGCCGCGUGUAUGAAGAAGGCCUUCGGGUUGUAAAGUACUUUCAGCGGGGAGGAAGGUGUUGAGGUUAAUAACCUCAGCAAUUGACGUUACCCGCAGAAGAAGCACCGGCUAACUCCGUGCCAGCAGCCGCGGUAAUACGGAGGGUGCAAGCGUUAAUCGGAAUUACUGGGCGUAAAGCGCACGCAGGCGGUCUGUCAAGUCGGAUGUGAAAUCCCCGGGCUCAACCUGGGAACUGCAUUCGAAACUGGCAGGCUAGAGUCUUGUAGAGGGGGGUAGAAUUCCAGGUGUAGCGGUGAAAUGCGUAGAGAUCUGGAGGAAUACCGGUGGCGAAGGCGGCCCCCUGGACAAAGACUGACGCUCAGGUGCGAAAGCGUGGGGAGCAAACAGGAUUAGAUACCCUGGUAGUCCACGCCGUAAACGAUGUCGACUUGGAGGUUGUGCCCUUGAGGCGUGGCUUCCGGAGCUAACGCGUUAAGUCGACCGCCUGGGGAGUACGGCCGCAAGGUUAAAACUCAAAUGAAUUGACGGGGGCCCGCACAAGCGGUGGAGCAUGUGGUUUAAUUCGAUGCAACGCGAAGAACCUUACCUACUCUUGACAUCCAGAGAACUUUCCAGAGAUGGAUUGGUGCCUUCGGGAACUCUGAGACAGGUGCUGCAUGGCUGUCGUCAGCUCGUGUUGUGAAAUGUUGGGUUAAGUCCCGCAACGAGCGCAACCCUUAUCCUUUGUUGCCAGCGGUUAGGCCGGGAACUCAAAGGAGACUGCCAGUGAUAAACUGGAGGAAGGUGGGGAUGACGUCAAGUCAUCAUGGCCCUUACGAGUAGGGCUACACACGUGCUACAAUGGCGCAUACAAAGAGAAGCGACCUCGCGAGAGCAAGCGGACCUCAUAAAGUGCGUCGUAGUCCGGAUUGGAGUCUGCAACUCGACUCCAUGAAGUCGGAAUCGCUAGUAAUCGUAGAUCAGAAUGCUACGGUGAAUACGUUCCCGGGCCUUGUACACACCGCCCGUCACACCAUGGGAGUGGGUUGCAAAAGAAGUAGGUAGCUUAACCUUCGGGAGGGCGCUUACCACUUUGUGAUUCAUGACUGGGGUGAAGUCGUAACAAGGUAACC